RNAcentral lists this small RNA (285 nucleotides) under Otolemur garnettii (small-eared galago). RNAcentral describes it as "7SK RNA (ENSOGAG00000023173.1)". The record is from RNAcentral. Lineage: Eukaryota; Metazoa; Chordata; Mammalia; Primates; Galagidae.
UGGUAUGAGGGUGAUUUGGUAGUGAAAUCUGUUACUCCAUUGACCUGUCAGAGUCGAUUCAGGGGAUCAUGAUUAGAUUAGCAGGAUCUUCCUCCUUUCUCCUCUUUCUUCCCUAUGUGCAUCUCCAGCAGAGUAGGGUUGGCUGUCUUUGAGUUGAGUGGCUGUAAUUCCUCAUGGCAUUGCCAUCAGCACUGUAAGACUUGACCCACCACUUACAAAUGUUGUGAUACAAGCAUGUCUGUAGAGCUACUUCCUAAAAGGGAGAGAGGAGCCUCUUUUUCCCUU